Molecule: long non-coding RNA, 2467 nt
Organism: Ostrea edulis (European flat oyster)
Lineage: Eukaryota; Metazoa; Mollusca; Bivalvia; Ostreida; Ostreidae
Exons: 3
Source: RefSeq, a predicted model, not a curated record
AAAACCAAUAUUGGUUUAUAACAGUUACACAACCUACAUGUAACUUCAUAAAUGCUACAUCGGCAGAUUGAAUUUAAAAAAGAUUAAUAAAGUACUUCAAAUUCAAAUAUAAACGUUAUAUUUGUUCGGAAUAGUAAUAAUUUUUUUCUCUGCCAAAGAAAGAAAACAAAAAAGAAGUUCGCCUAUAUAUAGCCUGUAUACUUUUAUUUUUCCGUGAUCCGGAUCGCGGGCCUCGCGGGGUUUUCUGAAAGUGUGCACGGAGAACACACGUGUUUCCGUUUCAACGAAAACAAACAAACACAGCUGCACCGUGACUGUCACAGCGAACGCUUGUAUUUUACAUCUUUAAAACGACCUGAUGUCAGAAGAAGAAAAUGCCCUGGAUCCCCUGUUGCAGGAUGACCCAAACGAUCAUGCAUUCAGUAUAAAUACGUACAUGGUAUUGACAUCCCAAUAUUUAGUGGGAAGUUUCCAGGUAUCAUCCGCUAGCGACAGUCUACUGACAAAUCCAGACAUGCAUUGGAAGGAUGCUGAUGUGGAGGACACAGGAACACCUGAUCCCAGAACUGUGGCAUUUCAUUCGGGGUGACAACCUGGCUUUCAGUUGAUAUGGGACUCUAUUAUUCGGAAAACUGCAGAUUUUAUGAAGCUGUCUUUGACAGAAGAUUUGGUUUUCUCCAUCUGUGUUGCCACCAACCAUUAUGCUGAGAUAGUCAUAACUAGGGGGAAGGGUUGCCAUAUACUUCCCAAGGAAGUUUGCAGCCUCUCACUGAAGAGGAACUGUACAGGUAUUACUAGUUUUAAAAACCGAUAUUGUGGCAGUGAUUUCCAGUUUCAAAAGAAUAAUAAAAUGCAUAGUAAAAAGAUUACCUUUACCAAAAUUAAUCUGGCUGUGAAUGUACAUGUAACUCAUUUAUUAAAUGUGUACUACAAUUACCUCUGAUAAAAUUUCAUAAGUAAUUAAAUGCAUACUUUUCAGAGGGCCUUGAUUAUCGAAAACAUUUACAGAGCCAAUUUGAGUAUUCAAAAGCUUUGACAAUACAUUAGUAUUUAGGACUAAGUAUUAACGAUGACGUUUUGUCUAUUAACAAUGAUAGCUUUCAUUCAUAUGUCGAUUUGAUAUAUCCCUGUGAGCUCGAAAUAAAGGACACCACAGAGUCGUCCACUUCUGCUUCAUACUUAGAUAUUUUAUUGAAAGUAGACAUUAACGGCAAACUAACAACUCAACUGUAUGACAAACGGGAUGAUUUCAGCUUCUCCAUCGUCAACUUCCCACAUUUAUGUAGCAAUAUUCCAUUAUCACCUGCAUAUGGUGUUUAUAUAUCUCAACUGAUUCGAUAUGCAAGAGCUUGCUCUGGGUAUAGUCAGUUUUUAAAUCGAGGUAAGCUACUGACAAACAAAUUGAUGGUACAGGGAUUUCAACAGUCUCGAUCGAAGUCAGCAUUUCGCAAAUUCUAUGGUCGUUAUAACGAUCUGGUUCGUCAAUACAACCUCGCAUUGGGUCAAAUGCUGUCUGACGUGUUUCAUACCGAUUGUUAAGCCGUUCUUGGCACACUGAUUUUGACUGCGGAUAACUCCGUUUACGUGAUCAGGAUAUGGGGCUCACGACGGGUGUGACCGGUCAACAGGGGAUGCUUACUCCUCCUAGGCACCUAAUCCCGCCUCUGGUGUGUCCAGGGGUCCGUGUUUGCCCAACUAUCUAUUUUGUAUUGCUUGUAGGAGUUAUGAGAUUGAUCACUGUUCGUUAUCUUCACCUUGCAUUAAGAAAUACUUUUUUUCCAGAUUUUUGUGCAUUAUCUUAUACACGUCUGCUGUGAAGUUCCAGUCGAUAGACAGAUAUUGGUCAACGCAUGCCCCUGUCGGAACAACUCGUUAUCAAGAAUUAUGUCUAGAAAUAGGUUUCAAGAGGUUGAAUAUAAGAACAUUUUUGUUAAAUAUGAUGCAAGUACAUUUGAAUCUAGUGAUUGAAAGUAAGUACUUGAACAUUCGUUUAUGUUGAACUUGGAGAGGAAAAAUGGUUAGUACUUUUUGAUAACAUUUGAUAAGGUGUUGUUGCUUAGCAACCAAAUAUAAUUGAAUAAAAAUAGAUUAUUUUAGAUUAACAAUAAUUGAAAGAUCUUUGUUUUAAUGUUGCAAUACUUAUUAUAUUUAAUGGAACAUAAUGGCAAAACGUCAUAUUAUUAGAAAAUGAUGGACAAGUAUAUAAAGUACGAAGUUUCCAUUUGAUGACCUUUGAUCUUAAUUCUCUUGAUUAUAUUUUUUGUUAAAAACCUUUUAAAAUGAUUAAGAUCUAUUUAAAGAUUAUAUUUUUAAAAUAAUGUGACAUUUACUAAUCAUCAUGGAUUGUAAUUACGUUUAAAUUGUGUCGAAUGGAUGCAGAAAGGCAAAUUAUGGUCAAAAUUGUACUAUGAGUGUUGUUACUUAGCAACCAAAAAUAUUUGUUUGUCAAUAAAAUUGAUUAGUUUGA